UCGAGAAUUUCUCUCAAUGGGCGCAAGCCUGAAGGAGCGACGCCGCGUGGGGGAUGAAGGGUUUCGAUCCGUAAACCCCUGUCAUUUGUGAACAAUGGUUAUCGUUUAAGAGAUGAUGACUUGAUAGUAAUGAAAGAGGAAGGGACGGCUAACUCUGUGCCAGCAGCCGCGGUAAUACAGAGGUCCCGAGCGUUGUUCGGAUUCACUGGGCGUAAAGGGUGCGUAGGUGGCUUUGAAAGUUUGAUGUGAAAUCUCCGGGCUCAACCCGGAAAAUGCAUUGAAUACUGCAGAGCUGGAGGUUUGGAGGGGGGACUGGAAUUCUCGGUGUAGCAGUGAAAUGCGUAGAUAUCGAGAGGAACACCAGUGGCGAAGGCGAGUCCCUGGACAACACCUGACACUGAGGCACGAAAGCUAGGGGAGCAAACAG
Molecule: ribosomal RNA, 427 nt
Filed under: uncultured bacterium
Lineage: Bacteria
Description: bacterial SSU rRNA
Rfam family: Bacterial small subunit ribosomal RNA
Source: RNAcentral